GUGAAAUUGUUGAAAGGGAAGCGCUUGCAACCAGACCUGCCUGCAGUUGCUCAUCCGGGCUUUUGCCCGGUGCACUCUUCUGCUGUCAGGCCAGCAUCAGUUCGGGCGGUCGGAUAAAGGCUUCGGGAAUGUAGCUCCUCUCGAGGAGUGUUAUAGCCCGUUGCGAAAUGCGGCCAGCUUGGACUGAGGUCCGCGCUUCGGCUAGGAUGCUGGCGUAAUGGUUGUAAGCGGCCCGUCUUGAAACACGGACCAAGGAGUCUAACAUCUGUGCGAGUGUUUGGGUGUCAAACCCGUACGCGUAAUGAAAGUGAACGGAGGCGGGAACCCCUCGGGGUGCACCGUCGACCGAUCCUGAUGUCUUCGGAUGGAUUUGAGUAAGAGCAUAGCUGUUGGGACCCGAAAGAUGGUGAACUAUGCCUGAAUAGGGUGAAGCCAGAGGAAACUCUGGUGGAGGCUCGCAGCGGUUCUGACGUGCAAAUCGAUCGUCAAAUUUGGGCAUAGGGGCGAAAGACUAAUCGAACUAUCUAGUAGCUGGUUCCUGCCGAAGUUUCCCUCAGGAUAGCAGUAACGUUUUCAGUUUUAUGAGGUAAAGCGAAUGAUUAGAGGCCUGGGGGUUGAAACAACCUUCACCUAUUCUCAAACUU
This 644-nucleotide ribosomal RNA is filed under the name uncultured Ascomycota. RNAcentral describes it as "LSU rRNA". It matches the Rfam family "Eukaryotic large subunit ribosomal RNA", at positions 399 to 1065 of the family's 3401-position model. Lineage: Eukaryota; Fungi; Ascomycota. The record is from RNAcentral.